Long non-coding RNA from Agrilus planipennis (emerald ash borer), 751 nucleotides. RefSeq lists it as uncharacterized. Lineage: Eukaryota; Metazoa; Arthropoda; Insecta; Coleoptera; Buprestidae. The record is from RefSeq and is a predicted model, not a curated record. The transcript is spliced from 2 exons.
UUCGAACGAUAAAAAAUAAUGACACUGUACCUGACAGUCCGUUUUAAAUGAAAAUUUGAUAAGUAUUUAUCAUAUUAAAAGUUCGCCAAAUUUACCGUUUCGUAUUAAGAGUGUUCCAGUUAUUUCCCACCUUCUGGAUUUAUGAAAAUGAAAGUAUUCCAUAAACAAAAAGUCGUCAACUAUUCAUGUGAGCAAAUUUACUCUAUUGUAUCGGACGUUGAAAAUUAUGCAAAUUUUAUUCCAUUUUGUCGAAAAUCGGAAAUUCUUAACAGAAAAGGUCACAGCCAUAUGCAGGCUACAUUAGAAAUCGGUUUUCCACCGGUUGUCCAAAAGUUUACAUCAACAGUUACUUUAAGAAAACCGUACUUGGUUAAGGCGGUAUCUUAUGAUCGACAUAUUUUAGAGCAUCUAGAAACGAUUUGGAAAUUUUCUCCGUUACCUGAAGCUCCGGAAAAUGCAUGCAUUAUUACCUUUGAUGUAUGUUUUCAAUUUAAAUCAGCAGUUCUUUCUGGAAUAGCUCAAAUGGUAUUUAACAGAAUAGUUAAUCAAAUGGAGUAUGCCUUUUUAGUGGAAGCAGCAAAACGUUUUAAUAAAAAGAAAAAAAAGAACAUUAAUCAUUAGAACAAUAAAGCGGAUUUCCUUCGUAAUUUAAAUUACUAAUAAAUUAUUGUAUUAACAUUCCACACAGUUCUUAUACUCAAAAUUAUUAUAAUUUUGUGUAAAUUAUUAAAUAAAAAGGCUGAGGUCGGCA